RNAcentral lists this ribosomal RNA (613 nucleotides) under uncultured fungus. Its description in RNAcentral is "eukaryotic LSU rRNA". It matches the Rfam family "Eukaryotic large subunit ribosomal RNA", at positions 24 to 664 of the family's 3401-position model. Lineage: Eukaryota; Fungi. The record is from RNAcentral.
CCCGCUGAACUUAAGCAUAUCAAUAAGCGGAGGAAAAGAAACCAACAGGGAUUGCCCUAGUAACGGCGAGUGAAGCGGCAACAGCUCAAAUUUGAAAUCUGGCUCUCGGGCCCGAGUUGUAAUUUGUAGAGGAUGUUUCUGGCAAGGUGCCUUCCGAGUUCCCUGGAACGGGACGCCAUAGAGGGUGAGAGCCCCGUACGGUUGGUUGCCGCGCCUCUGUGAAACUCCUUCGACGAGUCGAGUAGUUUGGGAAUGCUGCUCUAAAUGGGAGGUAUACGUCUUCUAGAGCUAAAUACCGGCCAGAGACCGAUAGCGCACAAGUAGAGUGAUCGAAAGAUGAAAAGCACUUUGAAAAGAGGGUUAAAUAGUACGUGAAAUUGUUGAAAGGGAAGCACUUAUGACCAGACUUGGGCCGGUUGAUCAUCCGUCGUUCUCGGCGGUGCACUCUGCCGGCUCAGGCCAGCAUCAGUUUGGUCUGGGGGAUAAAGGUUUCGGGAAUGUGGCUCCUCCGGGAGUGUUAUAGCCCGUUGCGUAAUACCCUGGAUCAGACUGAGGUUCGCGCUCUGCAAGGAUGCUGGCGUAAUGGUCAUCAGUGACCCGUCUUGAAACACGG